GUUCCAAAAACAUUUUUUUUCCCCUGAAAUAGUUCUGCUGAUAAAUAAUGUGUGUUGUUGUUUUUUCCUAUGUCCUUUUAUAAGCCUUAAAGCCUGCAUGAAGAGGAGACUGAGGAGGAUCAACAUUAAGUCCAAUUCACUUCUUCGUCUUUAUUUUCUAUCCUUUCCAUGUUUUAUUCUAACAAAUAAAUCACUGCCCAGGUUUGAUUUCAA
Non-coding RNA from Pelobates cultripes (western spadefoot toad), 213 nucleotides. Lineage: Eukaryota; Metazoa; Chordata; Amphibia; Anura; Pelobatidae. The record is from the annotation of a GenBank genome assembly.